This 468-nucleotide ribosomal RNA is filed under the name uncultured bacterium. Its description in RNAcentral is "partial 16S ribosomal RNA". It matches the Rfam family "Bacterial small subunit ribosomal RNA", at positions 28 to 507 of the family's 1533-position model. The record is from RNAcentral.
GACGAACGCUGGCGGCGUGCUUAACACAUGCAAGUCGAACGGAAAGGCCCUGCUUUUGUGGGGUUCUCGAGUGGCGAACGGGUGAGUAACACGUGAGUAACCUGCCCUUAACUUUGGGAUAACUUCAGGAAACUGGGGCUAAUACCGGGUAGGAGCUCCUGCUGCAUGGGGGUGGUUGGAAAGUUUCGGCGGUGGUGGAUGGUCUCGCGGCUUAUCAGCUGGUUUGUGGGGUAGUGGCUGACAAAGCGUUUGACGGGUAGCCGGCCUUGGAGGGUGACCGGGCACAUUGGGACUGCGAUACGGACCAGAAUCCUACGGGAGGCAGUGGGGGGGAAUCUUGCAGAAUGGGGCGGAGCCUGAGGCAGAGACGCCGCGUGCGGGAUGCCGGCCUUCGGGUUGUAAACCGCUUUCGCAUGUGACGAAGAGUGAGUGACGGUAAUGGGUAAAGAAGCACCGGCUAACUACGUG